Suricata suricatta (meerkat) is the source of this 1028-nucleotide long non-coding RNA. RefSeq lists it as uncharacterized. The transcript has 2 exons. The record is from RefSeq and is a predicted model, not a curated record. Lineage: Eukaryota; Metazoa; Chordata; Mammalia; Carnivora; Herpestidae.
UCCCUCGCUCGGACUCGCGCGCGCUCCGCCCCAGCCUCCAGUGCCCAGCCGCCCGCCGUUUGUUGUGGCAGAUGUUCUCUGUGCCAUGGCAACGCCAGAACAGGAUGUACCUCUGGAUCGCGGCAGGGACAAGCCCACGCUCACGGGCCGCCCACGCCGUGCCCUUCCCGGAAGGCUUGUUGCGAAGAACCACGCGGGUCCGGGUCAGGGCGCGUGGGGGUGGGUAGGGACGGAUGUUUGUAUCUGCGGAGAGGGAGGCAGAGCCAGCGUCCUCCCAGGGGUCAGGGCGGGGGACGGGGAGCAUGUGUGUGCACAUCCCGGCGAGUACCCCCGCCCACUCCGGUGAGCUUGGCUUUGCUUCCUUCCCUCUGCCCUCCUGAGCGAAGCCCUGGAAGCCCGGUGGGGAGGGAGGGGCGCCGUCCAUCAGCAGCGUCUGAUCUGUGGGCCCCUGACCAGAGACCAGUCCCACUGAAGGAUUACUUUGUGUCAGGACCUGUGCUAAGUGCUUUAUGUGACAAAUAACAGUACGAUUCAGGGGUGCAUGCUCUGUGCUCCUCUUUUAUCACAUCACUGGGAGGUUAUUUUUGUUCUUCAUCUUGAGAAACUGGGGCCCAGGGAGGUGAAGUCACUUUGCUCCAGGUCACAGAAUAGGGCCCAACGCAAAAUGAAAAGGCCUGGCCUUUGUCGAAGAAUUACAGGGAUUUCAGAAGAGCGACAGUGGAGAGUUAGAAACGUCGCGAUGCCCUUGUAAAUGCAGAGUCCUGUGCCGCCGACCACGAGGCAGCCCUAAGUGCUGCCCUGCCACCCCAGAUGCCCAGAGGGAGGGCCUGGGCAGCCCAGAGAAGCUCACAGCGCAGGGCAGGGAGGCACUGCCAUCCGGGAGUGCUCUGUCCGUUCCAGGGGCCCGUGCCAGCUCAUCAGAGGGGAGCAAAGACCUUCCCCCCAAGAUGCCUAACUGAGUCCCCUGGAACCAGGAGCCCCGGGGGUUGCUGUGAAUUGUAACUCAAUACAAAAGCAUCCUUUCAUUA